AGGCUAUUGGGUGAGAAGUUAACCAAGUUUUCAUCAGGCUGUGCAUUUUUCUAUUCACCAUGAUAGUAUGAAAAGCAGCUGUUCACCCUGGACAGAGUUUCAAAAAGGUGGAUUCCAACCCAUUUCCAUGUUACAUGGGAAAACUCUUGAUUUUCUCAUCUAUUGCCAUCAGAGGCCCAGUGGAAACUCAAGUCUCACUCUGUCACUGAGUCUGGAGUACAGUGGUGUGAUCAUGGCUCACUGCAGCCUGGAUUUCCUGGGCUCAAGCAAUCCUUCCACCUCAGCCUCCUAAGUAGCUGGAACCACAGGUAUGUGUCACCACACAGGGCUAAUUCAUUUUUUAUUUUUAAUGGAGAUGAGGUCCCUCUAUGUUGCCUAGGCCGGUCUCAAGCUCCUUAGUUCAAGGGAUCCUCCUGCGUCAGUCUCCCAAAGUCCUGAGACUACAGGCAUGGGCCAGCACACCCAAUCUAAACAAUACAUUUUUCUUUCAGAGUCUUUUUAUAACCCAGGAAAGUGACUGUUUAUUAAUCAGGUCACAGUAAAGCUGAUGCCACUUCUCAUAAUCAAGAACAUUGUCCUUCAGUCAUGUGAGAUGGAACAGAAAACCCCUUUUUAGGGGUCUGUGGACUCCACACAUGGAAAUAAAGGACAAUUCUGAGUUCCUUCAAAGGAAAUUCCAGGCACCUAGCUAGCCCCAGAAGUAAGUAAGUAAUUUGUUAAACCAGAAGGGGGCUGGGCACAGUGGUUCAAGCCUGUAAUCCCAGCACUUUGGGAGGCCGAGAUGGGCGGAUCACGAGGUCGGGAGAUUGAGACCAUCCUGGCUAACACGGUGAAACCCCGUCUCUACCAAAAAAUACAAAAAACUAGCCGGGCGAGGUGGCGGGCAUCUGUAGUCCCAGCUACCUGGGAGGCUGAGGCAGGAGAAUGGCGUAAACCUGGGAAGUGGAGCUUGCAGUGAGCUGAGAUCUGGCCACUGCACUCCAGCCUGGGUGACAGAGCAAGACUCCAUCUCAAAAAAAACCCCAAAAAAACCAGAAGGGAAGAGUAGCCUAAAGCCAAGCAAGUUAGAGUUCCAGAGACGUUUCGUUUCCCUAUAGAAACUAAAGACAACAUCUUAACACGUGUCCCUGAGUUGUCUUUCAGAGAUCCCCAUGGGGGACCCCACGUGCACAUAGACCUCAGAUAAAAGGGAAUUGAAGACUGAACUUUGACCACAUUCUUUAUUCUAAAUUUCUUCCUGCAGGGUUUGGAGAAAGUCAUCCUCCCCACAUAGCCAAUUAACAUUUUUCUGCAAACCCCAAAUUUUUUUUUUUUUUUUUUUUUUUUUUUUUUUUUUUUUUUUUUUUUUUGAGACGGAGUCUUGCUCUGUCACCCAGGCUGGAGUGCUGUGGCCGGAUCUCAGCUCACUGCAAGCUCCGCCUCCCGGGUUCCCGCCAUUCUCCUGCCUCAGCCUCCGGAGUAGCUGGGACUACAGGCGCCCGCCACCUCGCCCGGCUAUUUUUUUUGUAUUUUUUAGUAGAGACGGGGUUUCACCGUGUUCGCCAGGAUGGUCUCGAUCUCCUGACCUCGUGAUCCGCCCGUCUCGGCCUCCCAAAGUGCUGGGAUUACAGGCUUGAGCCACCGCGCCCGGCCACAAACCCCAAAUUUUAAAACCAAGUUUCUUUUCCUUAACCAAUUGCAAACUAGCAAAGCUUUGAAUCUGCCUACUACCAAUACGCCUGUGCUUCAGGAUAAUCUGCCUGUAUAGGCCUAAACCAAUGUGUAAUCUUGUGUAUUGAUUUAGAAUAUUUCCUGUAGCUUCUGCUUUUAUAAACACUUGCCUGCAAGCUAUCGGUGAGGCCAGGAUUUGAGCAUUUAGCUACUUAGUCCUCCUUGCUUGGCACUCAGCAAAUAUUUUUCUUUCUAUUGCUGCAAAACCUUAC
Long non-coding RNA from Papio anubis (olive baboon), 1922 nucleotides. Lineage: Eukaryota; Metazoa; Chordata; Mammalia; Primates; Cercopithecidae. The record is from Ensembl.